AAUAAACAAGUCUGUUUAGACUAUACUGAUUUCCAUAUUGCCCCAAUGUUUGUACAUGCAGUCUACGCAUGCGCAACUUUGUAUUUAAAUGGCCAGGACAGUGAUUUUAUAGCCCCGACCGGUUUUGCACUUUGAAGCGGAAAGGAUGAUGUUCGUGAUUGUUCAACUAUAGCGGACUGAGAGUUAAUAAACAAGACUGUUUAGACUAAACCGAUUUCCAUAUUGCGGCAAUAUUUGUAUAUGCAGUUUAUGCAUGAGCAACUUUGUAUAUAAAUACCUAGGACAGUGCUUUUAUAGCUCCGACCGAUUUUGCACUUUGAAGCGGAAAGGAUGAUAUUCGUGAUUGUUCAACUAUAGCGGACUGAGAGUUAAUAAACAAGACAGUAUAGACUACACCGACUUCCAUAUUGCCCCAAUCUUUGUAUAUGCAGUUUACGCAUGCGCAACUUUGUAU
Nasonia vitripennis (jewel wasp) is the source of this 454-nucleotide long non-coding RNA. RefSeq lists it as uncharacterized. The transcript has 3 exons. The record is from RefSeq and is a predicted model, not a curated record. Lineage: Eukaryota; Metazoa; Arthropoda; Insecta; Hymenoptera; Pteromalidae.